Molecule: ribosomal RNA, 253 nt
Filed under: uncultured bacterium
Lineage: Bacteria
Description: partial 16S ribosomal RNA
Rfam family: Bacterial small subunit ribosomal RNA
Source: RNAcentral
UACAGAGGGUGCGAGCGUUAUUCGGAAUUAUUGGGCGUAAAGGGCGCGUAGGCGGUUGAAUAAGUCAGAUGUGAAAGCCCUUGGCUUAACCAAGGAAGUGCAUUUGAUACUGUUUGACUUGAGUAUGGGAGAGGGAAGUGGAAUUCCUGGUGUAGAGGUGAAAUUCGUAGAUAUCAGGAGGAACACCGGUGGCGAAAGCGACUUCCUGGACCAAUACUGACGCUGAGGCGCGAAGGCGUGGGGAGCAAACAGG